AACGCUGGCGGCGUGCCUAAUACAUGCAAGUCGAGCGAACAGACGAGGAGCUUGCUCCUCUGACGUUAGCGGCGGACGGGUGAGUAACACGUGGAUAACCUACCUAUAAGACUGGGAUAACUUCGGGAAACCGGAGCUAAUACCGGAUAAUAUAUUGAACCGCAUGGUUCAAUAGUGAAAGACGGCUUUCCUGUCCCUCAUAGCCGCACCCGCGCCGCAUUGGCCGGUUGGUACGGUAACGGCCUACCAGGGCGACGAUGCGUAGCCGACCUGCGGGGGUGGUCGGCGACACUGGAGCUGAGACACGGUCCGGGGUCCUGCGGGAGGCAGCGGUAGGGAAUCUUCCGCGAUGGGCGAGAGCCUGACGGAGGGGCGGCGCGUGAGUGAUGAAGGUCUUCGGAUCGUAGGACUCUGUUAUUGGGGAAGAACGAAUGUGUAAGUAACGAUGCACGUCUUGACGGUACCGGGUCAGAAAGCCACGGCUAACUACGUG
This 493-nucleotide ribosomal RNA is filed under the name uncultured bacterium. RNAcentral's name for it is "partial 16S ribosomal RNA". It matches the Rfam family "Bacterial small subunit ribosomal RNA", at positions 32 to 507 of the family's 1533-position model. The record is from RNAcentral.